RNAcentral lists this long non-coding RNA (230 nucleotides) under Nicotiana benthamiana. Its description in RNAcentral is "long non-coding RNA (NBEN_LNC013187)". The record is from RNAcentral. Lineage: Eukaryota; Viridiplantae; Streptophyta; Magnoliopsida; Solanales; Solanaceae.
AUUACUUUGUGCAAAUUUCCGAUCGAAUCAGCCGGAAAUAUUUUUUUAAAAACCUUCUAGCGACCCUAUUUUUUUCUUUCCCCUCUUUUCUUCCUUCUCUCUUUUCUCUCUCUCACUCAAACUUCCACCCACCCAGAUCCGCUACAUCCAUGAACCAGUAGAACUCACCGCCGCCGUCGCCGCCUAGCUGCAAGUCCGACAACGAUCCUCCACUGCCAGGUAAGUUUCCC